Molecule: ribosomal RNA, 489 nt
Filed under: uncultured Glomus
Lineage: Eukaryota; Fungi; Glomeromycota; Glomeromycetes; Glomerales; Glomeraceae
Description: SSU rRNA
Rfam family: Eukaryotic small subunit ribosomal RNA
Source: RNAcentral
AGCAGCCGCGGUAAUUCCAGCUCCGAUAGCGUAUAUUAAAGUUGUUGCAGUUAAAAAGCUCGUAGUUGAAUUUCGGGGUUAGUAGGCUGGUCGUGCCAAUGGUAUGUACUGGCUUUACUGAUUCCUCCUCCUUGAAGAACUGUAAUGCCAUUAGUUUGGUGUUGCAGGGAAUCAGGACUGUUACUUUGAAAAAAUUAGAGUGUUUAAAGCAGGCUUACGCUUGAAUACAUUAGCAUGGAAUAAUGAAAUAGGACGUUGAUUCUAUUUUGUUGGUUUCUAGGAUUGACGUAAUGAUUAAUAGGGAUAGUUGGGGGCAUUAGUAUUCAAUUGUCAGAGGUGAAAUCCUUGGAUUUAUUGAAGACUAACUACUGCGAAAGCAUUUGCCAAGGAUGUUUUCAUUAAUCAAGAACGAAAGUUAGGGGAUCGAAGACGAUCAGAUACCGUCGUAGUCUUAACCAUAAACUAUGCCGACUAGGGAUCGGAUGAUGU